RNAcentral lists this ribosomal RNA (253 nucleotides) under uncultured bacterium. Its description in RNAcentral is "partial 16S ribosomal RNA". It matches the Rfam family "Bacterial small subunit ribosomal RNA", at positions 524 to 776 of the family's 1533-position model. The record is from RNAcentral.
UACAGAGGGUGCAAGCGUUAAUCGGAAUUACUGGGCGUAAAGCGCGCGUAGUCGGUUAUUUAAGUCGGAUGUGAAAUCCCCGGGCUCAACCUGGGAAUUGCAUUCGAUACUGGAUAGCUAGAGUUCGGCAGAGGGAAGCGGAAUUUCUGGUGUAGCGGUGAAAUGCGUAGAUAUCAGAAGGAACAUCAGUGGCGAAAGCGGCUUCCUGGACCAGAACUGACGAUCAGGCUCGAAAGCGUGGGGAGCAAACAGG